AAAUAAAAAGAAAUGAAAAGAAAAACUUACAUUGAAUAGCAGAAACGCUAGAAUUAGAGGAUUAAGAAACAAACUAUGCUAAAAUGAAAAGUAAAAACCCACUAAAACCAGAGAUCUUACCAUAUCCCUCAGGAUCCUUGUGUAUAAACCUUAUCAAAUGAUCAGUAGUCGCCAAAUUUAUAUCACUGAAAUAAUACUCCACUUGAUUCAAAAGUUUCUGCACA
Molecule: unclassified non-coding RNA, 224 nt
Filed under: Hevea brasiliensis (rubber tree)
Lineage: Eukaryota; Viridiplantae; Streptophyta; Magnoliopsida; Malpighiales; Euphorbiaceae
Source: RNAcentral